RNAcentral lists this unclassified non-coding RNA (4061 nucleotides) under Drosophila pseudoobscura pseudoobscura. RNAcentral's name for it is "GA12852". Lineage: Eukaryota; Metazoa; Arthropoda; Insecta; Diptera; Drosophilidae. The record is from RNAcentral.
UAUACUCUCCAUCGAUAGUGUUUGUGGAAGUGCGCGGCUGCCUGCAAUUCCGUCCAAAUUAGUCACAAUAGGGCGAUAUUAUGGACUUCACACGUGAGAUUUUGAGUUUCCAGUUUGGCACCUAUGCCAAUUAUGUUGGUGCACACUUCUGGAAUCAGCAGGAGGCAAACUUUGUGUAUGACGGCUCCAGCAGCCAGGUGGCCGAGGAACAGCUGCCGCAAAACGAUGUACUGUACAGAGAAGGUCUCAACGACUAUGGCCAGACUACCUAUACUCCUCGUCUGCUCUCCGUUGACCUGGCUGGCAACUUGGCCCAUCUGCCAAUCGUGGGAGAAUUAUAUGGCAACUAUGUACAGCGUAACGAGGAGCUGUUGCCCCUCACAACAGGCAAUCAUCUACAGAAGACUAGACAGAGUGCUGAGCAAAAUAACCUCUCCACCGUCGAUCAGUUGGAAGUGCGCGAGCAGCCGCAAGUCCCGAUAUCCGAGUAUCAGCGGGAUCUGCUUAAGGGAGCUAUAGAGGCCGGCAAGAACUAUCAACUGGCCGAUACAACGCGUAGCUGGGCUGACUACCUGUACGCUAGAUACCAUCCGCGCACACUCAAUGUACUGCCGGACUUAAUUCGCGACAGCAAUGUUCAGGCUUUGGCCACACAAGCAGCUGGAAAGGAGAUCUGGGAUGGGGACGCCUUCAACGAAGAUUUCUGCAACCGCAUUCGCCAAUAUGUGGAGGAGUGCGAGGGCCUACAGGGCUUCCACAUUCUUUUUGACAUAGACGAUGGCUUCAGUGGCCUGGCCAGCAAGUGCAUGGAACAUUUGAACGAUGAAUAUAGUCGCGUAAGCUUUGUUCUGCCGCUGCACUACCCACGGAUUCCUUCAUAUAACCAAGCAGAUCCCCGAACUGCCCACAGUAUUCGCGUGGUGAACAGCGUGCUGAGCUAUUACCAUCUCAGCGAGCAGGCCACGAUGUUCACACCGCUAGCCACGCUAGAGACCAUCUGGCGGAACAACACCUUACAGUCCCGUCGCAUGCCAGGCCUCGAAUGGAAAACUGGAAACCUUUACCAGACUUCGGCUGUGCUCGCCGCCUUCAUGGACACCAUGACGCUCAGCUACCGUCUGCGCCAGACGCCCCAGUCGCUGGUGCGGUUCUGUGAAAAUGUCUGCCCGGUUGGACGGAAGAUGACAGCAGCUGCCAUGGCCCUGCCACUUGGAAUGCAGCAGGAGCAGGACCUGAUCGACUAUAUGGACCACAGCGGCGACCAAUCACUAUUGACCCAGCUGACGCCAGGUUGCGAGGCUGGUACCUCUUAUGUGGUGCAGUCGGUGAUGGCCCGCGGAAUUCCCACCAGUCGAUUGAAACGUCCUCAGGAGACGGCCGGACCCCAGCUACGGAUGGCUGCCUAUGGCUGCAACAGUGUCUCUCAGAUGCUGCAGCUGUACUAUCAGUGCAGCUUCCAUGGCAGUGUCACCAAUGCUGCCUCCACUCCCCUGCCCUUCAAGACUCAAUUGCCUUUCCCCUACGAGAUAUUCCAGCCGAACAUCGCCACGGACGGCUUCAAGGUUGCUGGGGGCGGGGAACGCGAGUCAAGUACCCGCGUGGAGUCGACUCCAGUGCUGGCAGCCCUGCAGAACUCUACCAAACUUGGCGACCAUCUCGAUAAUCUCCAUACCCAGACCCAUCGUGUCCAAAUUGGAAAACUGCAGUCGUACUCCCAGUCGGCCGUCGAUCGGGAGGAGUACGAAACGGCCCUGGACAAGCUUCUCGAGUUCCGCGACAACUAUGCCGAUCAGCAGUACCUCUUUGUACUAAAAUUGGUCACAUCCGGUUUUAUAAAGUAGACAAAUUAUUUUUCGAAUAUGAGGAACAAUUUGCUUCCUUUUAGGAACAAGUCUUUCAGAAAUAUAUUGCCAAUAAAUAAACUUUGAAAGUUUCAGAUCUCUAUUGGGGGGGGGGGGACCAUUUCUUGCGGAGGCUCCGUGGUAUGGUAUAUGUCAUAUGUAUUUCUUACGAACUUUAAUAGAUUUGGACCUGGUCUGUUAAUAAAAGUCACAUUUUUACCUUGUUGCCUAUUAGCUUUUAAUCUUAAUCUCCUAAUCUUAAUUUCACUUUCGAACAGUUUUGCGGAAAUGGGACCAGGAAUCCCCCCAUUUGUGGGGCAGUUCACAGUUUUCAAAUCUAACGAUUUUCGUUGCGUUUUGGGUAAAAUUAAAAUGGCCCACACUUUGUUCUAUGCUUAUUUGAUUUCCGGCCCCGAUAAGGGCUCUGGCUCUGGUGCAGUCGAAUCGAUGGGAAAGCCAAAACCAACGCAGAGGAACAAGAAAAAAAGAACAACAAAAAGUUUUUAUUUGCAUUUCUUGGGCAUUUCGCUGCAAAACAGAAAGUGAAUCGAAAGAAGUCUGCAGGUAUGACCUGGUGUUGGUCCUGGUCCUGGCCCAGGAGAGCUCUUUUCGUUUCCCUCUCCCACCCCCAGCUACAAGGAGCUUUUUCAUCUGGAAAAGCUCAACGGGAGCCAGAAAGGAAGGCGAGCUUCGACGGGGCUGAAUCUUUAGAUACCCUUUCACAUCGUUCGUUCUAUGGAAGCAAUUUACAUGUACCUUCGCUGAGAUAUGUAGUACAAUGCUUAAGUACAAUGAUAUGGGAUCUGGUUCUAGUAUAAACCUGAAAUUUUCAACGUUACACAUCGUCAUAUACUAGAAUCGGAGAUGCUUCCAUCCUGGGUGUUGAUCUUCCCGUCAAAAUCACAUUACUCUCUGCAAGAGUAUCGAAAUCCAACUCAUUUUACACAGAUUCUUCUUCUCGUUUGGCCGUAUUCUGCUGUUUCCCACUCCACUCUACUUCGCUCCACCCUUCCCCACAAUCACUUUCUAUACAUAUAAACAAUUGAAAUGAAUUUGUAUCCUGCACACACACACACAAACACACACGCAACAAGAAGAGCAACAAAAAAAGGGGAAACUUUGCCGACAAACUUUGACUUUGGUUAUUGUUACAGUUUAACUUUGUUGCUUUUGCCAUGCCCCCUCCUUGUUCCUAUUUUGGUACCCUCUACAGGGCAGCGGUACACUCUGCGAGUGCAAGUGUAAUCGUAUUCUGCCUUUUCGCGGAGUGUUUGUAACCAGCGGAAGCAGGUCUUGUCUUAUGAACAUGUCUCUCUCUGGACGCAUGAAUAACGAAUGGGACUGGAAUCAAUAAAGGAAAAACACAUUGUACUAGCAGCUUCUUCAACUGGUAGCGCGUGAUCCAUGUGUUUCGGAGUACAAUGAAAACUCUACGCUUUCCCAAGCGGUCAACCAAGUGGCUGCUCCGGGUUCAAUUAUCGAAACUACACUCAGAGGAACAACGAAAAAAUAACUGACUUGAUCGAUCGCCUCCAGCCACGGCAAACACCUACGGUGGGAGUCAGUCAAAGGAAGCUGGUGCUCGUAACAGCGAGUGGAUAAGUGGUUAAGUGGAAAAGAGGAAAAGAGGAAACGAGGGUAUCUUCAGGUCUAGACACUGGUCAAUUAGAUUCUCAGUUGCUCGCUUCGUUGCUCUUUUUCUUGCGCCAUGUGCUCUGCCUUUGGUCUGCCCUUGUCGACGCUCUUGCUGUUAUUUCCGCUGUUGCUGUUGUCGCCAACGCAGACGAAGCUGUCGCUGACGCUGACGCAGCCCACAGGGGCGAGGGCAAAGGGGCGUGGAAAACGAAACUUUUCAAAUAAAAUGAUUUCUUAUUUAGGCAUCCGAUUUGAGACACGCCCCUUCGUCUACUUCCCCACACCAGGCGGCCCUUUGACAGGACUCUUCUGUUUCUGUGAGAAGAGCGAUACCCCGAUACUCCGAUUUGGAAUGCAAAUUUCAGAUGGUAAUGGAAUCGGAAUAGGACUUACUUCAAUAAGAACAAGCUCUUUAUUUUCUCCAUAUACUAUGUCUGUACACAUGCAGAUACAGUGCAUAUGCAUACAGAGGAAUCUGGUACAGAGCUGUAGAUACGAUCUGCCUUUGAUUAGGUGGAGUCGGCGGAUGGAGCCUCGGAGGAUGGAGCCUCUGAGGAUGGAGCCUCGGAAGGUGGAGGCUCUGUA